UCCCAAACCCUCGGAUUCUGGCGUCAUCGCUCGUCUUCGAUGGACGACAAGGGCUCUUUCUACAACGGAAUCUGCUGAGACGGCGGCGGCGGCAUCGGUCUUUUCUAGCAAAGACAACCUCAUGAGCCGGGUGAAUAGGCUUCACAAGGAAGGCAAAGAUGAACUCGCCCUACAUGUAAUUUAUUCUUCAUCAUUUAAGUAAGGUUUGUUCUUCCUUCUUUUGGAUUAAUGGGUUAAUUCGUUUUGUAGCUCUUUGACUCUAUGGAUGCGAACAAGGUUGAAUUUACUCCCUCCGAGUUUGCAUUUCAUAUUGAGAUCCUUGCUAAGGUCAAAGGCUUAGCAGCUGCUAAAGCCUACUUCAAAAAAGCAGACCCAGACUUCAACGAUGGAGACAUUCAUGCCAAGAACUGGCCUGCUUACGCCACGCUCCUUCGGCUCACAUCUGAAGAAUUGGACCAACUGGUUAGUGUUCUAGUUUAUUGAAUGUUCUGUCUAAGUUUUGUAGUUUUUAAAUUUGUGUAUUUCAAUCUCUUUUUUAGGCGAACCAUCUCCAUCCACUUAGAAAUUCCUAUUCAAGAAUGGCUGAAUUGGUUUCACCUUCAGUGGUGUCGAUAAUAACGAGAAAUUACUCUGAAGAAAAAGGAGCUCGAAACAUGUUCGGAUCGGGAUUUUUCAUCGACAAUACAACUAUUUUAACAUGUUCACACAUAGUUGUAAACUCUCAACGACUUACCGAUGAAUCUUACUUAAAUUCGAGACAAGAGGUAAAAUUCUGAGUUGUAUUACAUUACUAUGUAAUUAUACAUGCUAAUUGUACCAUUUUUCUUGUCACAGCUAAAAGUAGUUUUGCAUGAUGGAACCGAACUAGAUGGAACACUAGUUCGGUAUGAUUCAGUACAAGAUGUGGCGAUGGUGCGAGUAGAUACUAGCGGGUUGCCGGACGGAUCCUAUUCCCCGGUGAAACUCGGUUUUCCAAACCGAGUUCGCCAAGGGGAUUGGAUUGGCUGUUUUGGAGCACCGCUUCAGCUCCCUAACACCAUCACGUUUGGAGUAGUCUCGUAAGUAUUUUGUUAACUACUGAAUAAUUUACUCUGUAAUUAUCUGGAUUUUGAAUUAUUGUUUGUCAGUGCAAUUCGCACCGCUGAGGAGUUGGAUAUGGGUGACAGGAAAGGACAAUUCUUUCAGAUGGAUUGCACUACUUACGAGGUAUUGUUAUUUAAAUAAUUUUAUUGAUUUGUAUUAUUAUUCGUUAUUGGUUUUGACUAAGUAUCACCUAUAUAUAAUCUCCCACAGGGUUCUUGUGGAGGUCCCAUUGUGAGUUUAGAUGGAUCGGUCAUCGGGAUGACCUGUCUUUCCUUUGGAGAUCCAAAUGGUCCUACUCAGGAUUCCGUUGAACAGGAGCACGGUAUGGCAGUUUCGAUCGACAGUGUUCUCUGUGUACUUGAGCUUGUUUGAUUAUAUUACCUUUUGGUGUGUGUUUUGUCUACUACUCGAACACAGAAUUAUUUGUUACUAGUUUAUCUUCGGAGUGAGAAAUAGUUAUUAGUUUCUGAAACUUCCUAGAUUUAAUCCAACGCGUUAUAUUAUUUCUGAGAUUGACAAUUGGAAACUGACUGUUAACCCCUCUCUCAUCUGCGACUUUAUCUACUAUAUCAACAAUUUUUGUAGACUCUUGAUGUCAUUUCGUUAGCUCUUUCUCCAAUUUGAGGUGUAUUUUGCUUCAGACAAGAACUGAUUCGGUGAAUCUUCAUGUGUUUUGGAUUCUUAGUUCUACUUGCUUCUUUUGAUAUGACGAGAGUGCCAGUUUUUUGGUUUUAUCGAACUUGGGAACUCAAAGAACAAGAGCUGAACAAAGAAGUAUAAAAUGUAAUACUUAUUGUAUAAAAAGGACUAAAAUUUGAUGUUCCUUGUUUUUUUCAUUUUUCAAUAGUAUAAAUGUAUAAUCAAAUAUAAAUUUUCCACAGUUCAGCCCUCGAAAGAACUAAAAUUUGGGAAGAAUAUCAAACAUGUCAGUUUACAAAUAAUACAUAAAAGUUCCAAAGAAGAUACACAAGAAACCUACUUGACUAAUACACGCACUGGAUGAAAGCACUCUCAGACAAGGAGGUAAAACAUUGACAGACGAUGAAACAUGACAGUACAUAAGACAGAGAGUUAUGGCAUAUGUCUUUGAUUAGACAUAUAAUGUUGACUGUAAAUGACGAGAUUCGCAGAGACGAGCAUUCUCAGAAGCAGCAUUCCUCCAACACACAGCAACAGCAGAGAGCAGCAAGACUGCAAUUUGCAACCCGCAAAAGAUUCGGUUAAUCAUAACAUAAUUUAGGCUACUUGAGGCCAAUCAAUCUAAAAUAUAAAAGAGUUUAGUAGAGUGAGCAUAAGAAAAGCUGCAGCACCUGUAUAGACACUAGGAUUUCAAAAUUCUACUUGUAAAAAUACAGCCAUUAGGCAGUUAGUUCUAAAGAGAGCACUAGAUUUAUUGAAGAGUGAAAGAAUCAUGUCCAAGAUACAAUUACUGAGUGUCUCAAGUUAAACACUAAAAGCAUCUUUAUAUGAAUAGCUCAAAACUCAUCAUAGUCAUAGGGAUGUUGCCAUGAGUUUUUUUACCCAGCCCAACCCAUAUUUAAUGGGUACCCGAAUUGUAACUACCCAAUGGGUAUUGAGUUCUAUUGGGUAUACCCAAAAAAUACCCGCUAGAUUUCAGGUAACCCAUGGGUACCCGAGUUCUUUUAAUUAUGUUUUUUUUUUUUUUCAAUUCUUUGGAAAAAUUUUGGAGGGAAAUUUUUUUUGCGGAAAAGUUUUUAACGGAAAAAAGUUUUGGCGGGAAACUUUUUUGCGAAUUACGGGAUCACUUUUCCCACCAAAAGUUUCCCGCCAAAAAUGAAAAUCCGCAAAUUUCCCGCCAAAAAAUGUUAAUCCGCAAAUUUCCCGCCAAAAAUAAAAAUUUGCAAAUUUCCCACCAAAAACAAAAAAAUUCACAAAUUUCCCGCAAAAAAAAACGAAAACCCGCAAAUUUCCCGCCAAAAAAAACGGAAAUCCGUAAAUUUCCCACCAAAAACGCGGAAUUUCCAAAGAUGAGUGAAGUGAAGGAAGGUCCUUUUGAAGGGCAUCAAUGGGCAGAGCCAUCUGUGGAUAAGCUUAGGGUUCUAAUGAGGCAUGUAAUGAGUAAUCCUUAUGAGGCUAAGGUUAAAGGCAACCGUGGAAGAGACGACAUGGUUCAGAAGUUUACACCUGAGGUCGUUACUGAGUUUGUUGCGAAUCAAAUUGAGAUAAUCUUUGAUGAGCAAAGAAGAACAUGACAGGAUCUCACACUUUGCUUAGAUCACGAGAGGGAACAAUAAUUGUAUUUUUUUCAUGAAUUGUUCUAAAAAAGGCAAAUAUGAAACGAACAGCUUAUUCUCGAGUUUCUUAUGGAAAACUUAAACAGUGAGUUUAGUGUUCUAAAUCUUUCUUUUAUUGGAGAUGAGAAGCGAAAGCCGACAUAACUUCCUUGUACACUGGCUUCUUGAAAUCCACUGCCUGUGAAACCGAAAUAGAAGAAGAUGAGUAGAGAAGUAGUAUUAGAAUCAAACUGCAAAUUCGGUAUAGAGAAAGAAGAAAAAAGUACGAACAUGUUCAAUGACUUGAUCAGGAGAAGUCCAGGACCAUUGACCAAACUCAGGUUUCUCAGUUCCAUCACCAAGAAGAUUGAUUUCUUCAUCUUUGCCAGUAAAUUUCAGAAGAAACCUGAGGAAACAAAAGCUCGUAACGAAAAAUACUCAAAAAUCUAUAAAACCCAAGUAUUUUAACCCGAAUCUAGCCCAAAGUAGAUAAAAAACCCAAAAAUAUCUUAACAUCCGAAUAAUUUAGGUACUAUAUAUACUUGUCUAUAAAGUUUAGAAAACAAACACUAGAAAAACAAAUGUUGCACCCAAUAAUUUGACACAUAUACAAAAUCAACAGGAAAAAAAUACCUUUGACACACCACCCUAGUUACUCUAAAAAAAGAAACUGUGUGUUCCCAUUACGGUUUCCGCUGUCCCGAGUCGGCUUAGUAUUCAAAGUGCAUAAGAGGGUAGCCGGGCCGGGCCGGGCCAAAUACGAAGGGCCAUACGAAGGGCCCAAAUUGAGAGUUGCGAGUAUCAAAUAAGAAUAGGGUUUGUGUUGCGACAUUUAGCUAGGGUUAGAAUGAUGAUGAAUUUCCGCCGCAUCGCAGCAGGUUCUCUUCAUCUCUUGCAGAAGUCCGCAACGCGUCCCGCUCUGUUUCCCAAACCCUCGGAUUCUGGCGUCAUCGCUCGUCUUCGAUGGACGACAAGGGCUCUUUCUACAACGGAAUCUGCUGAGACGGCGGCGGCGGCAUCGGUCUUUUCUAGCAAAGACAACCUCAUGAGCCGGGUGAAUAGGCUUCACAAGGAAGGCAAAGAUGAACUCGCCCUACAUGUAAUUUAUUCUUCAUCAUUUAAGUAAGGUUUGUUCUUCCUUCUUUUGGAUUAAUGGGUUAAUUCGUUUUGUAGCU
RNAcentral lists this long non-coding RNA (4492 nucleotides) under Arabidopsis lyrata. Its description in RNAcentral is "long non-coding RNA (ALYR_LNC002991)". Lineage: Eukaryota; Viridiplantae; Streptophyta; Magnoliopsida; Brassicales; Brassicaceae. The record is from RNAcentral.